AUUGAACGCUGGCGGCAGGCCUAACACAUGCAAGUCGAGCGGCAGCGGGAAAGUAGCUUGCUACUUUUGCCGGCGAGCGGCGGACGGGUGAGUAAUGCCUGGGAAAUUGCCCAGUCGAGGGGGAUAACAGUUGGAAACGACUGCUAAUACCGCAUACGCCCUACGGGGGAAAGCAGGGGACCUUCGGGCCUUGCGCGAUUGGAUAUGCCCAGGUGGGAUUAGCUAGUUGGUGAGGUAAUGGCUCACCAAGGCGACGAUCCCUAGCUGGUCUGAGAGGAUGAUCAGCCACACUGGAACUGAGACACGGUCCAGACUCCUACGGGAGGCAGCAGUGGGGAAUAUUGCACAAUGGGGGAAACCCUGAUGCAGCCAUGCCGCGUGUGUGAAGAAGGCCUUCGGGUUGUAAAGCACUUUCAGCGAGGAGGAAAGGUUGAUGCCUAAUACGUAUCAACUGUGACGUUACUCGCAGAAGAAGCACCGGCUAACUCCGUGCCAGCAGCCGCGGUAAUGCGGAGGGUGCAAGCGUUAAUCGGAAUUACUGGGCGUAAAGCGCACGCAGGCGGUUGGAUAAGUUAGAUGUGAAAGCCCCGGGCUCAACCUGGGAAUUGCAUUUAAAACUGUCCAGCUAGAGUCUUGUAGAGGGGGGUAGAAUUCCAGGUGUAGCGGUGAAAUGCGUAGAGAUCUGGAGGAAUACCGGUGGCGAAGGCGGCCCCCUGGACAAAGACUGACGCUCAGGUGCGAAAGCGUGGGGAGCAAACAGG
RNAcentral lists this ribosomal RNA (761 nucleotides) under uncultured Aeromonadaceae bacterium. RNAcentral's name for it is "bacterial SSU rRNA". It matches the Rfam family "Bacterial small subunit ribosomal RNA", at positions 28 to 776 of the family's 1533-position model. The record is from RNAcentral. Lineage: Bacteria; Pseudomonadati; Pseudomonadota; Gammaproteobacteria; Aeromonadales; Aeromonadaceae.